This 298-nucleotide unclassified non-coding RNA is filed under the name Hevea brasiliensis (rubber tree). Lineage: Eukaryota; Viridiplantae; Streptophyta; Magnoliopsida; Malpighiales; Euphorbiaceae. The record is from RNAcentral.
AGAGAAAACAGCGAAGAGCAAAAGAAUGGAUGCUUAUACGUGGCACAAAGUAGCUGCUAUUUCCGGAGUUGCAGCACUUGGGUUGGGCACAUAUGGUGCCCAUGUCUUCAAGCCCCAGAAUCCCUCUUACAAGGAGGUAUGGCAAACAGCAUCUCUAUACCAUUUGGUUCAUACUGCAGCUCUUCUUGCUACCCCUCUCACUAAAAAACCCCACAUUUUUGGGGGCCUCUUGACAACUGGGAUUCUUGCUUUCUCUGGGACGUGUUACACUGUGGCUUUACUUGAGGACAGAAAGUAU